RNAcentral lists this long non-coding RNA (1655 nucleotides) under Pelobates cultripes (western spadefoot toad). Lineage: Eukaryota; Metazoa; Chordata; Amphibia; Anura; Pelobatidae. The record is from RNAcentral.
CUGUGUUUGGUUCUGAUUAAUGGCUGGAUAUAGCACUAUGGAUCUGUGUUUGGUUCUUAUUAACGGCUGGAGGUAGCGCGAUGGAUCUGUGUUUGGUUCUUAUUAACGGCUGGAUGUAGCACUAUGGAUCUGUGUUUGGUUCUGAUUAACGGCUGGAUGUAGCACUAUGGAUCUGUGUUUGGUUCUGAUUAAUGCCUGGAUGUAGCGCUAUGGAUCUGUGUUUGGUUCUGAUUAAUGACUGGAUGUAGCACUAUGGAUCUGUGUUUGGUUCUGAUUAAUGGCUGGAUGUAGAACUAUGGAUCUGUGUUUGGUUCUCAUUAAUGCGCUAUGGAUCUGUGUUUGGUUCUUAUUAAUGGCUGGAUGUAGCACUAUGGAUCUGUGUUUGGUUCUGAUUAAUGACUGGAUGUAGCACUAUGGAUCUGUGUUUGGUUCUGAUUAACGGCUGGAUGUAGCACUAUGGAUCUGUGUUUGGUUCUGAUUAACGGCUGGAUGUAGCACUAUGGAUCUGUGUUUGGUUCUGAUUAACGGCUGGAUGUAGCGCUAUGGAUCUGUGUUUGGUUCUGAUUAACGGCUGGAUGUAGCACUAUGGAUCUGUGUUUGGUUCUGAUUAACGGCUGGAUGUAGCACUAUGGAUCUGUGUUUGGUUCUGAUUAACAGCUGGAUGUAGCACUAUGGAUCUGUGUUUGGUUCUGAUUAAUGGCUGGAUAUAGCGCUAUGGAUCUGUGUUUGGUUCUGAUUAAUGGCUGGAUGUAGCACUAUGGAUCUGUGUUUGGUUCUGAUUAAUGGCUGGAUGUAGCACUAUGGAUCUGUGUUUGGUUCUGAUUAAUGGCUGGAUGUAGCACUAUGGAUCUGUGUUUGGUUCUGAUUAACGGCUGGAUGUAGCACUAUGGAUCUGUGUUUGGUUCUGAUUAACGGCUGGAUGUAGCACUAUGGAUCUGUGUUUGGUUCUGAUUAAUGGCUGGAUGUAGCACUAUGGUCUGUGUUUGGUUCUGAUUAACGGCUGGAUGUAGCACUAUGGAUCUGUGUUUGGUUCUUAUUAAUAGCUGGAUGUAGCACUAUGGAUCUGUGUUUGGUUCUGAUUAAUGGCUGGAUGUAGCACUAUGGAUCUGUGUUUGGUUCUUAUUAACAGCUGGAGGUAGCGCUAUAGAUCUGUGUUUGGUUCUGAUUAAUGGCUGGAUGUAGCACUAUGGAUCUGUGUUUGGUUCUGAUUAAUGGCUGGAUGUAGCACUAUGGAUCUGUGUUUGGUUCUGAUUAAUGGCUGGAUGUAGCACUAUGGAUCUGUGUUUGGUUCUGAUUAACGGCUGGAUGUAGCACUAUGGAUCUGUGUUUGGUUCUGAUUAAUGGCUGGAUGUUGCACUAUGGAUCUGUGUUUGGUUCUGAUUAAUGGCUGGAUGUAGCACUAUGGAUCUGUGUUUGGUGCUGAUUAAUGGCUGGAUGUAGCACUAUGGAUCUGUGAUUGGUUCUGAUUAAUGGCUGGAUGUAGCGCUAUGGAUCUGUGUUUGGUUCUGAUUAAUGGCUGGAUGUAGCACUAUGGAUCUGUGUUUGGUUCUGAUUAAUGGCUGGAUGUAGCACUAUGGAUCUGUGUUUGGUUCUUAUUAACGGCUGGAUGUAGCACUAUGGAUCUGUGUUUGGUUCUGAUAAACGGCUGGAUGUAG